GAUGAACGCUGGCGGCGUGCCUAAUACAUGCAAGUCGAGCGAACAGACGAGGAGCUUGCUCCUCUGACGUUAGCGGCGGACGGGUGAGUAACACGUGGAUAACCUACCUAUAAGACUGGGAUAACUUCGGGAAACCGGAGCUAAUACCGGAUAAUAUAUUGAACCGCAUGGUUCAAUAGUGAAAGACGGUUUUGCUGUCACUUAUAGAUGGAUCCGCGCCGCAUUAGCUAGUUGGUAAGGUAACGGCUUACCAAGGAAACGAUCCGUAGCCGACCUGGACGCGUGAUCGGCCACACUGGAACUUAGACACGGUCCAGACUCCUACGGGAGGCAGCCGUAGGGAAUCUUCCGCAAUGGGCGAAAGCCUGACGGAGCAACGCCGCGUGAGUGAUGAAGGUCUUCGGAUCGUAAAACUCUGUUAUUAGGGAAGAACAAAUGUGUAAGUAACUAUGCACGUCUUGACGGUACCUAAUCAGAAAGCCACGGCUAACUACGUG
RNAcentral lists this ribosomal RNA (497 nucleotides) under uncultured bacterium. RNAcentral describes it as "partial 16S ribosomal RNA". It matches the Rfam family "Bacterial small subunit ribosomal RNA", at positions 28 to 507 of the family's 1533-position model. The record is from RNAcentral.